This 806-nucleotide long non-coding RNA is filed under the name Callithrix jacchus (white-tufted-ear marmoset). RNAcentral's name for it is "lncRNA (ENSCJAG00000080546.1)". Lineage: Eukaryota; Metazoa; Chordata; Mammalia; Primates; Cebidae. The record is from RNAcentral.
GGUGCAUGAGAGCAGUGAUUGAAUCUCCUGUGCCCUUAGGGUUAAAUGACCAAUAAUCACAUACUUGGGAAUAAGAAAAUGAAUAAGUAGCCCAGGUGGGCAGACAGAUGUGAAUCCAGGCUCUGCCAAAUAAUAACAAUGUAACUUUAGCAAGUUACUUGUCUUCUGUGAGUAUUGGUUUCCUCAGUUUUAAUUCUUUGUUAAAAAGCAUCACAAUAUUUACUUUAAAGUGUUCUGUGAGGACUCAAGAUAAAGCAAAUAAAAUGUUUAGUAAAGUUCCUGGUCCAUAGAUCUUCCAGACAUACUUCUGCAAACUUCUCUCAUCUUUCAUUCAAGACCUGUAGCAUCCAUCACUGGGAUUUGCUUCUGCUUUAGGUGGAAGUCUGCGGUGAUCUUGUCAAGAGAGCAUCCAAAGCAGAGGAAAUGCAAGCCUGACUGGACAGUUCUGUGAGGAGAAGAGAAGGUGAGUAAGUGAAGACAAGGCUUGAUAGAUUUUGUUUUAAGGCAAACAGAGAAGUGAAACUGGAUGAGGAAAGGAGAUCUGUAGCAGAUUUCUUUGUCUUAGAUGAGUGUUAUUAGAACAUGUUGUAUUGUUGCAAUUUUAUAAAAUCAAUGAGAAACUGAUGAGACAGGAGAGAGAGGAGACUCAGACAUGAGUACCAGAAACAAGGAGUAUCCAGUGUACAAUUAAAUUUUUAAAAAACCCUUAGCCUUUGAAGAAGGAAUAUUUCACCCAUUUAACCAGAAGAGAGCAUAAAAAGGUCAAGUUGAUAAAUUUGGAUAAAGCAGUACUUUCAAUAGCUUCU